Molecule: ribosomal RNA, 253 nt
Filed under: uncultured bacterium
Lineage: Bacteria
Description: partial 16S ribosomal RNA
Rfam family: Bacterial small subunit ribosomal RNA
Source: RNAcentral
UACGUAGGUGGCAAGCGUUGUCCGGAAUUACUGGGUGUAAAGGGCGAGUAGGCGGGUUGUUAAGUCAGAUGUGAAAUUUCCGGGCUCAACCCGGAACGUGCAUUUGAAACUGAUGAUCUUGAGUGAUGGAGAGGCAGGCGGAAUUCCGUGUGUAGCGGUGAAAUGCGUAGAUAUACGGAGGAACACCAGUGGCGAAGGCGGCCUGCUGGACAUUAACUGACGCUGAGGCGCGAAAGCGUGGGGAGCAAACAGG